RNAcentral lists this unclassified non-coding RNA (425 nucleotides) under Hevea brasiliensis (rubber tree). Lineage: Eukaryota; Viridiplantae; Streptophyta; Magnoliopsida; Malpighiales; Euphorbiaceae. The record is from RNAcentral.
AUGAUGGGUCUCCCAAGAUUGCCAAGGAGAUAAUCGAAGCCAUAGACGAUGUGAACUUUUCAACCACCUUCAAAGUGGUAGAAGGAGAUCUCCUGAAGGAUUACAAGAGCUUCAAACUCAUCGUUCAAGCUACACCAAAGGAGAAGGGAAGCUUGGUGCACUGGACCUUGGAAUAUGAGAAGAUCAACGAGAAUACUCCAGAUCCCAAUACACUGCUAGAGUUUGUUGUUCAUUGCAGCAAGGAUAUUGCUGCUCACCUUACGCAAGCCCAAAAGAACUGAUGGAUCUUCAGCUACGCUCUGAUAUGUGGUGUAUAAUAAAUAAGGGCAUGUGAAUUUGUACCUACCAUAUGCAAAAUCUUAAAUCUGUGUGGGUUUGUUAAUGAUAAUAUCUACCUUUGAUUAAUAUCAGAAUAUAUAUUACGG